GUAAAAUGGGUAUGAUGCCAAAAGUUUAGUAUUGUUACAGGUAUUAUAUCUGGAAAUAAAUGUUUUAUAAAACUGUAAAAACUCUAGUAGUUGGGAGCUGUGGCUUAUACCUGUAAUCCCAGAGCUUUGAGAGGCCAAGGCAGGAGGAUUGCUUGAGGCCAGGACUGAGAGAUCAGCCUGGGCAACAUAGUGAGACCCCCAUCUCUACAAAAAAUUUAGAAAAUUAGCCAGUCUUAGUGGCAUGGGCCAAUAGUUCUAGCUACUCCAUAGGCCGAGGCAGGAGGAUCCUUUAAGCUCAAGGGUAAGCAGCUGUAGUGAGCUUUGAUUGUGCCACUGCACUCCAGCCUGGGCGACCGUGAGACUUCAUCUCUUUUUUUUUUUUAAAAGUUCUGUAAUUACUACUGACCUCCCAAGGUGAUAUUUCAACCGUUGCCUUCACCCUUAUUCCAGAAAUACUAAAACUUUAGAAUUAUUUUUGAGGCAAUCAUCUUGAUUUUCCUCUCCUACAAGGUAAAUAUUUUUAAGUGUAAAGUUUUGGAGCUUAUAUUUAUGAAUAUUUGCAAGGCUUUUUUCCCCUCCGCCUCCUUUCAUGCAAACAAUUGAAGUGGCUAGCUUUUCUCCUCUCCUGGAAUAAAGGAAGUGAAUUAGCAAUUGAAUAUAUAACCUAGGACUUCUCUAAAUUAGGCACCUGUGGGUACCCUUAGGGUCCAUAUGCUUACAAUAUGAGUUUCUAUCACCAUUAUUACUUGUUUUUUGAAGGCCUGAUGCAAAGCCUAUUAAGAUAUUGAAAAGGACUAAUAGCUAUUUAUCCAUUUGCCUCUCCAUACUUCAUCAUCUUAGUCACCUACUGCCACCUUCGAAAAACACGGAGAGCACCUACCCAGAGGAGAAGGUAGAUUUGGAGUAAGCCGCCGUCGACAUAAUUCCUCUGAUGGUUUUUUUAACAAUGGUCCCCUACGAACUGCAGGAGAUUCUUGGCACCAGCCCUCCCUGUUCCGCCAUGAUUCUGUGGACUCUGGUGUCUCUAAGGGAGCAUAUGCUGGAAUCACAGGGAACCCAUCUGGUUGGCAUAGCUCUUCCCGAGGUCAUGAUGGCAUGAGCCAACGUAGUGGAGGUGGCACAGGGAACCAUCGCCAUUGGAAUGGCAGCUUCCACUCCCGGAAAGGGUGUGCUUUUCAGGAAAAGCCACCUAUGGAGAUUAGGGAAGAAAAGAAAGAAGACAAGGUGGAAAAGUUGCAGUUUGAAGAGGAGGACUUUGUAAGUAUGAAUCUUUAGAUGUGUGGUUAGAAGCCAACAAAUAAUGUCUGAAAUAUGAGACCCUGUUAGUAAUGAGAACAUUUCAGAAAUUACAGAAAAAGGAAUUUGUAAGUUGAGGUUUUUAUUGUUUUAGAGGAAAGAAGUUAAGUUGAUAAUAUUUGAAAAUGGUGACCAAAACUCCUAUGUAACUUGUAGCAAAUUUUUCAUCUUUGUGUCUUUGGAAUUUAGAAAAAUAUUUAAUUUCUCUUAAGUCUUAUAAAGUUUACUCAAAU
RNAcentral lists this long non-coding RNA (1529 nucleotides) under Homo sapiens (human). Its description in RNAcentral is "non-protein coding lnc-CCDC17-4:1". Lineage: Eukaryota; Metazoa; Chordata; Mammalia; Primates; Hominidae. The record is from RNAcentral.